RNAcentral lists this ribosomal RNA (253 nucleotides) under uncultured bacterium. RNAcentral describes it as "partial 16S ribosomal RNA". It matches the Rfam family "Bacterial small subunit ribosomal RNA", at positions 524 to 776 of the family's 1533-position model. The record is from RNAcentral.
GACGAACCGUGCGAACGUUGUUCGGAUUCACUGGGCUUAAAGGGCGCGUAGGCGGACAAUCAAGUCAGGGGUGAAAGCCUCCAGCUCAACUGGAGAAGUGCCUUUGAUACUGACUGUCUCGAGGGAGGUAGGGGCAUGUGGAACUUCCGGUGGAGCGGUGAAAUGCGUAGAUAUCGGAAGGAACGCCGGUGGCGAAAGCGACGUGCUGGACCUCUUCUGACGCUGAGGCGCGAAAGCUAGGGGAGCGAACGGG